CCACAUCGACGGGACAGCAGUGGAGAAGUUCUUAGGACAAAUAAGAUCGUCAAUUCUUCCAGACCAAAGAGAGGUUUCGAAAGCCUUAUUUGACCAGGGAAUGACCAGGAGAGGGUCGCUGGGGCAGCCACCAGAACUGGACUGUCGGAGAGUGUGGUGGAGAAUUGGUUAUGGAAUGAAAGAAGAAAACUGUCCCAGAGUCAAGCUGUCCCUCAAAAAAGAACUAAGCUCUACAAAUGGAAUGUGUCAGCUUACAACCUGUUUAUGAGGGACCACCUUAAAGCAACAGCAGGAGUUAUGGCAGGUACACAGAGCAAAUGGCAGGCAUUACCACCUGCAACAAUGGCCCAUUACAGUGAGGAGGCAGACAAGCUACAGGCAGGAGUUGAAGGGGAACCUGAAGGCCUUAAAAGUCAAAGAUUAUUUAAGACGGCUGAAAUCAAUGGUGGGAAUGUAUACUGUAGGAUAAAUCAUGACAUUUUGAAACUUUUACUUUAAAAAAGUAAUGUAUUUGGAUUUGAUAGUUGGAGUUAGAGUUGAGAUACAGAUUUAAGAUCCAGAGGACAGGCAUUUUUCUUACAAAAGGAUUUCAGCCUUUUUGACAACUCUUUUCCUAUAAGCAUUUUUAGAUAUUGUCAUUUUUUUAUAUACAUCUAAUUUCAUUUAAUAUUUAUCUUGUCUAUUUCUACAU
Coregonus clupeaformis (lake whitefish) is the source of this 691-nucleotide long non-coding RNA. RefSeq lists it as uncharacterized. The transcript is spliced from 4 exons. Lineage: Eukaryota; Metazoa; Chordata; Actinopteri; Salmoniformes; Salmonidae. The record is from RefSeq and is a predicted model, not a curated record.